GGUGUGCAUUGAUGUACAUAUUCCCCUCCAGUCUGGAGAGGAGAGAGACUGGACACACUCUAUAUGCUGGACUGCUGAGACGCCUGGCUUCACUUUGUGAGGAGAUUUGCCCUGUGCCCCAAACCCCUUCCAGUAUUAGCCCCGAUGCCUGAGAACCUAAAACUGGUCGCCCUGGAGACCUCUGCUCUCCACACACACAGGGAACUAAGUUGGUCACCUGCACUUAGGAAACCAUCUAAGCUAAGCUCAUUAUCCUCACAGGGUGAGGGGGUGGUCAGGGGUACCGUAUAUCCCACUGCACUGCAUUGAGGGCUCAAAUUGGCUGAAGUCGAGUUCUGGAGCCACCCCUACUUGUGCCCCACAUGGGCCGGUCACUGUUGAGUCCUUUCUCAAAAAAGACUGCAACUGUUUACUUCCCAGGUCAUCAUGGGUCUGCUAGGUUCAGUGAUGGCACGUUCCUAUCUGUAUCCAGUGGAAGUUGUAUCUGGCAGAGGGGCAGCCUGUAGUGUUGGGCCACUCUUGCCCACAGCCAUUUUAGAGACUCUGUGAGACCAGCUUUCAUUAACUUUAGCCGGGUACACCUGGCCUGAUGCACUGCCUGUGGGUGUGGGCUUGCUCCUGGCCCCAUGAGGAGCCCUGUCAGUGAGGCUUCCUGGGUAGACUCAGCAGGAGGGGCCCUUCCCAGUCCUCUCCUCCCCCUGUCUUGGCAUCAGUUGUUUUCUGUGAAAACAGUGGGUUGGUUUUGUGCAGGGUCUUGGGUUAGAACCACAAUGGAUUUGAGGAGUUUUUCUUUUGAUUUUGUAUAUUUUGCACAUUAAUAAUAAACAGUGGAAAGAGAAGCAGCUUAUUUA
Long non-coding RNA from Mastomys coucha (southern multimammate mouse), 851 nucleotides. RefSeq lists it as uncharacterized. The transcript has 2 exons. Lineage: Eukaryota; Metazoa; Chordata; Mammalia; Rodentia; Muridae. The record is from RefSeq and is a predicted model, not a curated record.